UUGUCUGCAGAAGGAGCUAAAACUGGAAGUGGAACCGCUUUGAUUAUCAUAGAGAAGAUAUGAUGAGAGAGAUUUGCAGAACACUGUGGGCUGCACAUCUGACAGCUGAUUGGUGCAUCCUGAUGUUAUGAAUACAGCAGAAGGGCUCUCCUGUUCACCUGAAGAACAGAUGUACUCAGCUACUCUGUCUCUGAACUCUUUCACAAUUUCAAACAAGGCAAACAAAAUGGGAAGUUCCUGAAUUUUUCUUGGUGAAAGUCC
RNAcentral lists this long non-coding RNA (261 nucleotides) under Dromaius novaehollandiae (emu). RNAcentral describes it as "lncRNA (ENSDNVG00000016693.1)". The record is from RNAcentral. Lineage: Eukaryota; Metazoa; Chordata; Aves; Casuariiformes; Dromaiidae.